GCUGGGUGUGGUGGCACACGCCUGAAAUCUCAGUGCCUUUGGAGGCUGAGGCAGGAGGAUCUGAGUUCACAGCCAGCCUCAGCAAAAAGUGAGGCGCUAAGCAACUUAGUGAGACCCUGUCUCUA
RNAcentral lists this small RNA (125 nucleotides) under Marmota monax (woodchuck). Lineage: Eukaryota; Metazoa; Chordata; Mammalia; Rodentia; Sciuridae. The record is from RNAcentral.